This 1232-nucleotide long non-coding RNA is filed under the name Vulpes vulpes (red fox). RNAcentral's name for it is "lncRNA (ENSVVUG00000028676.1)". The record is from RNAcentral. Lineage: Eukaryota; Metazoa; Chordata; Mammalia; Carnivora; Canidae.
GUGCAAUUAAACAGAGACAGCCUGGCGGCUGUGAACACCUCAGUGCAUUACAUUUUUAUCUGUAGGGCCGUUACCCUCAUGUUUCCUGUCAUAGAAUCUAAACAUCACAAAUCCGUGGAGGAGGGGCACUUUGACUGCAAGGAUGCUGAGUUAUGCCAAGCAGGACAGAAAAACAUCCCCUAUGGAAACCAGCAAUAGGGCUCAAGGCCCACUUAGGGACGAAGAAUCUGUCCCCUACUCUCCAAAUGGCCACCUGUUGGUCCUGCUUCUGCCCUCAGAGCUACAAGAACUAGUGUCCUUCCUCUCCCACCUGACAAACCCUGAGUCUGUCUGCCACAUGCUCUUUGGUCUUCUCAUUGCUCAACCACACUGGUGGCUUCUCCUAUACAUGGCUUCUGGCACCAUCAUCAUCCUGGUAACCUUCUGGUCUGGCUGUGCCUCUUUUCAGUUCCCCACAUGUGACUUGUAUGCAUCCAGAGAACCUAGAAGCAUUGUCCUUAUCUAAUUAUUACUUCUCCAACCCUAGGAGCAUGGAUUUUAUUUUACAAAACAAACUGGGAACAUUUAAAGCUCCAGAAUGGGGUUUGGAUCAAAACAAUGUAAGAAGUUUUGGUGAUUCUUCAAGACAGGUUGAGGAAGUCUGGCAGAGUCCCAGGAGCUAGAGAGUUGUGGUUCAGAAGAGGAGGAUGGUCUCCCAGGAGCCAACACCAGUGGAGGGACACAGAAGGGCUGGAACUUCCCUGGACCUCAGAGGCUGUUCAGGGGCAGAGGGACCUUACGUCUGUGUAGGUUGUAGCCUUGACCUCUGCUUUGAUGCAUCUCAGGGCUACUUUUUGAUCAGCACCAGAGUCUCUAGGGACUUUGGCUAAAGGGACAAAGGAAGUUGUUCUCUCUAAACCAGGAGUCGGCCUUCACACCUGGAGAAAAUAUCUGGGUCUUGAAUCCUGAGACCUCAGGAGAAGAUACUCUCCAUGGGGAGAGAUGGGGCAGGAUGGGAUGGGCUCACCUCCUGCGUGCUCAGAGAAGAGAACCCCACAGUUCCUGCUCUACAUCCGCUUGACCCCACCAUCACAUGCUGUGAGGAUGCAGGGGUGCCCCGACUUGCUCACAGGACCAUAUACUCUGGGCUUCAGCUCCCACAGUGGUUACUCAGAUUCUGAUCUGAAUGUUUAUUUGGCAGGUUAUCUCACAGAUUCCUUUAAUAAAGAUCCUCUUCCUUAUGCCUGCUUUCA